Molecule: ribosomal RNA, 253 nt
Filed under: uncultured bacterium
Lineage: Bacteria
Description: partial 16S ribosomal RNA
Rfam family: Bacterial small subunit ribosomal RNA
Source: RNAcentral
UACGGGGGGGGCAAGCGUUGUUCGGAAUUACUGGGCGUAAAGGGCCAGUAGGCGGCCAACUAAGUCACACGUGAAAUCCCCAGGCUUAACCUGGGAACUGCGUGUGAUACUGGAUGGCUUGAAUUCGGGAGAGGGAUGCAGAAUUCCAGGUGUAGCGGUGAAAUGCGUAGAUAUCUGAAGGAAUACCGGUGGCGAAGGCGGCAUCCUGGACCGACAUUGACGCUGAACGGCGAAAGCUAGGGGAGCAAACGGG